UAGGGAAUCUUCCACAAUGGGCGCAAGCCUGAUGGAGCAACGCCGCGUGAGUGAAGAAGGUUUUCGGAUCGUAAAACUCUGUUGUUAGAGAAGAACACGAGUGAGAGUAACUGUUCAUUCGAUGACGGUAUCUAACCAGCAAGUCACGGCUAACUACGUGCCAGCAG
This 167-nucleotide ribosomal RNA is filed under the name uncultured bacterium. RNAcentral describes it as "partial 16S rRNA". It matches the Rfam family "Bacterial small subunit ribosomal RNA", at positions 355 to 514 of the family's 1533-position model. The record is from RNAcentral.